RNAcentral lists this ribosomal RNA (253 nucleotides) under uncultured bacterium. Its description in RNAcentral is "partial 16S ribosomal RNA". It matches the Rfam family "Bacterial small subunit ribosomal RNA", at positions 524 to 776 of the family's 1533-position model. The record is from RNAcentral.
UACGGAGGGUGCGAGCGUUGUCCGGAAUCACUGGGCGUAAAGGGCGCGUAGGCGGCGCGAGCAGUCGAUCGUGAAAGUCCGGAGCUCAACUCCGGAUCGGCGGUCGAUACUCUCGUGCUUGAGCACUGUAGAGGCAGAUGGAAUUCCGGGUGUAGCGGUGGAAUGCGUAGAGAUCCGGAAGAACACCGGUGGCGAAGGCGGGUCUCUGGGCCGAUACUGACGCUGAGGAGCGAAAGCGUGGGGAGCGAACAGG